Molecule: ribosomal RNA, 253 nt
Filed under: uncultured bacterium
Lineage: Bacteria
Description: partial 16S ribosomal RNA
Rfam family: Bacterial small subunit ribosomal RNA
Source: RNAcentral
ACGGAGGGCGCAAGCGUUGUUCGGAAUUACUGGGCGUAAAGCGCGGGCAGGUGGUUCGUUAAGUCGUCUGUGAAAACCCGGGGCUCAACCCCGUGGAAUGCAGGCGAUACUGGCGAGCUAGAGAUCGGUAGAGGCUAGCGGAAUUCCUGGUGUAGCGGUGGAAUGCGUAGAUAUCAGGAAGAACACCAGUGGCGAAGGCGGCUAGCUGGGCCGAGUCUGACACUCAUCCGCGAAAGCGUGGGGAGCAAACAGG